This 256-nucleotide ribosomal RNA is filed under the name uncultured bacterium. RNAcentral describes it as "partial 16S ribosomal RNA". It matches the Rfam family "Bacterial small subunit ribosomal RNA", at positions 521 to 776 of the family's 1533-position model. The record is from RNAcentral.
UAAGACAGAAGGUGCAAGCGUUACUCGGAAUUACUGGGCGUAAAGCGUCUGUAGGUGUCUUUCCACGUCUGGCGUUAAAUUUCGGGGCUCAACCCCGUCUAUGUGCCGGAAACGAGAGAGAUCGAGUCAGUCAAAGGUAGCUGGAAUGUCGUGUGUAGGGGUAAAAUCCGUAGAUACACGAUGGAACGCCAAAAGCGAAAGCAGGCUACUAGGACUGUACUGACACUCAGAGACGAAAGCGUGGGGAGCAAAGGGG